CUCCCAUCCUACUGUGACCCAGUCUGGAAAAGUCUUCACUGCACCUGACACAUGACAUUAAUGUCCUAAAAUCGGUGCAUGCAUGUGCCAAACUUAGACAUUGCCAAACUAUGCAGAAUUCUCAAACAGUUUGUGGUUAAAGAAAUGUUUGGAAAUCAACUUAUUCAUAGCACCAUAGUGAAAUGAUUUUUUGAAACAUGGGGUUUGAAAUCAUCUGGUCUGAGCUUGGUGCCAAACAUGUAGUUCACUCUGAGCUCACUAGUUUAACAUGUGCACACACUGUGUUGCCAGAAGUUAUGCAAGAUGUAACCUGUAUAGUUUAUUCUGUUUGUGGCAGGCAAAUAGUGAGAUUGGCUCCAAUUCGAGAGAUGCGGGUGAAACGUGAAAGCAAGACACUGAGGAUGAACACAGGCUGGGAUAAGAAAGAGUGGCUCUCAAGAUCUGACCACAAGGACACCAGCACAGCCACAUUUGAGUCCCCUUUAUGUGAUAUUUUGAUUGGGGCUUGUGAAUCUGGCAUACAUAGCAUUUCAUGGCAAAUGAACAAUGAUUCUUCCAUGGUGCCAAAGGCAAGACAGGAGACGUGGGGGGCGGUGACGGGCCGGCAAGGCCCGAGCUGUGCGCCGCUCGAGGAGGCCGUCGCGUGGCUGCGCCAGUACUUCCGCGACCCGCACGUCGCCCAGCGUCCGCCGCCGCUCUGCCUACGGCAGGUCAAAGUUGAGUCAUGCAUUCCGAUUUGGCAUAAGCUCAAGGACCAAGUGGGGCCAGGAACUACGAUUUCGUAUGGCGGACUGGCGCAGCUAUGUGGAAACCCAAAGGCCAGCCGCCACGUGGGCUAUGCCAUGGGACACAACCCUUUCACGCUGGUGGUGCCGUGCCAUCGAGUAGUGACAUCUAGUGGCAAGCUGGGAAACUAUUGUCGCGGUCGCGGGAACCAGCUGAAGACCUGGCUGCAUGCGCAUGAGCUGGGAGGGCUCGACUGUGAGUCAAACUGAUGCCCGCAGCAUUCGCUGAAGGGCGUCCGCACCCUGUAGAUGAUGAGCGGCGGAAGUGGGCGCGGCAUUGUUAGUCUUCGCGACCGGGUAAGGUGUGCGUUUGACGUCUCCACGACCCUCCUUAUCCCGA
RNA transcript from Pollicipes pollicipes, 1125 nucleotides. It is a transcript of the gene named O-6-alkylguanine-DNA alkyltransferase, with no coding region annotated. Lineage: Eukaryota; Metazoa; Arthropoda; Thecostraca; Pollicipedomorpha; Pollicipedidae. The record is from RefSeq and is a predicted model, not a curated record. The transcript has 5 exons.